Molecule: ribosomal RNA, 733 nt
Filed under: uncultured Botryosphaeria
Lineage: Eukaryota; Fungi; Ascomycota; Dothideomycetes; Botryosphaeriales; Botryosphaeriaceae
Description: eukaryotic LSU rRNA
Rfam family: 5.8S ribosomal RNA (bases 305-458)
Source: RNAcentral
GUCNUGGACAGGUAGUGAGCGGAGGAGCAUAUCAAUAAGCGGAGUCUUGGUCAUUUAGAGGAAGUAAAAGUCGUAACAAGGUUUCCGUAGGUGAACCUGCGGAAGGAUCAUUACCGAGUUUAGCCGGGGCCCGAAAGGGUCCCGUACGGCUAUUCCCACCCUAUGUGUACCUACCUCUGUUGCUUUGGCGGGCCGCGGUCCUCCGCGGCCGGCCCCCUCACCGGGGCUGGCCUGCGCCCGCCAGAGGACCAACAAACUCCAGUCAGUAAACGUAGCAGUCUGAUAUAAAAAGUUAAUAAACUAAAACUUUCAACAACGGAUCUCUUGGUUCUGGCAUCGAUGAAGAACGCAGCGAAAUGCGAUAAGUAAUGUGAAUUGCAGAAUUCAGUGAAUCAUCGAAUCUUUGAACGCACAUUGCGCCCCUUGGUAUUCCGAGGGGCAUGCCUGUUCGAGCGUCAUUACAACCCUCAAGCUCUGCUUGGUAUUGGGCGCCGUCCUUCACCGGACGCGCCUCAAAGACCUCGGCGGUGGCGUCUUGCCUCAAGCGUAGUAGAAAACACCUCGCUUUGGAGCGCAGGGCGUUCGCCCGCCGGACGAACCUUCUGAACUUUUCUCAAGGUUGACCUCGGAUCAGGUAGGGAUACCCGCUGAACUUAAGCAUAUCAAUAGCCGGAGGAACUUGGUCAUUUGGGGGGGGUAGGGGAGGAGCAUGUGAGUAGGGGGCGGGUCAUGG